AAGAUGAAGUCCUCAGCUGCCACCAAAUGUCUAUUCAGCCCUUUGAGUCUCCUUUGGGUACAGAAGAGCUGAGUCCCUGCUCUAGGUUCCUGGGAUCUAAGUGAAUCUCACCAGACGCUAGAGCCUCUGGACCGCUACAAAUGGGCUGGUGAUCUGCUUUUGCUGAACUCUACUGAUAAUUCCUGGAAACUGUUUCUGUUUUCCCUUUUCUUAGUUUAUUUCCUUCAGUAACAUCUUCAGAAGGACAUGACUUUGAGUCUCUCCUCAGAUCCUACAGAACUGGAACCGUAGAUGGCUGAGCCGUGGGUGCUGGAAACUGAACCCAGGCCUCUGGAAGAACAGCUGCCUUUAAACUGUGAGCCAGCCCUCCAGGCCCUAGACAGAGCAUUUUAAGGCUCUGUGACGGGGUGAAAGCCGCAGUGACUACAUCACCCAAGCUGCACCAUUUCCUGCCAGCUCGCCCCGCCUCCCGCACCCUCCCCCUCCACAGGCCCCGCCCUUUGCUCCACGUGUAUUUUUGACCCGCCCACUCGCUCCUCUUAUCGGCGUCCUUCUGCACACGGGAUUUCCGGUCCUCCUCUCGCGACAUCUUCCCGGUGGCGUGGCCAGCUGAGGCAACUGUGAGGGAUCCCGGGGCGGGCGGAGCUGACGGCUGAGCUUGUGCCUCCGCUUGUCAGAUCCGGAGCGAUGGAGUACAUGACAGAACCCGCCGACCGCAGCCCGGGACACAUCUUGUGCUGUGAGUGUGGCGUUCCAAUUAGUCCAAAUCCUGCCAAUGUGUGUGUGGCCUGUUUACGAAGUAAAGUUGACAUCAGCCAAGGUGUUCCAAAGCAGGUCUCCAUUUCUUUCUGCAAGCAGUGCCAAAGAUACUUUCAGCCGCCAGCAUCGUGGAUACAGUGUGCUUUAGAGUCCAGGGAGCUUCUUGCUUUGUGCUUGAAAAAAAUUAAAGCAUCUCUAAGUAAGGUUCGCCUUGUCGAUGCAUGCUUUGUUUGGACUGAGCCCCAUUCCAAGAGGCUUAAAGUUAAAUUGACAAUUCAGAAAGAGGUGAUGAAUGGUGCUAUCCUUCAGCAAGUGUUUGUGGUGGACUAUGUUGUUCAGUCCCAAAUGUGUGGAGACUGCCAUAGAGUAGAAGCUAAGGAUUUCUGGAAGGCCGUGAUUCAAGUCAGGCAGAAGACUCUUCACAAGAAAACGUUCUACUAUCUGGAGCAGUUGAUUCUGAAAUAUGGAAUGCAUCAGAAUACACUGCGUAUCAAAGAGAUUCAUGAUGGUUUGGAUUUCUACUAUUCUUCAAAACAACAUGCUCAGAAGAUGGUGGAGUUUCUUCAGGGUGUGGUUCCCUGCAGAUACAAAGCAUCACAAAGAUUGAUCUCCCAAGAUAUCCAUAGUAACACAUACAAUUACAAGAGCACUUUUUCUGUUGAAAUUGUUCCAAUAUGCAAGGAUAAUGUUGUCUGCCUAUCACCAAAACUGGCGCAGAGUCUUGGAAAUAUGAGCCAGAUAUGUAUUUGUAUUCGAGUAACUAGUGCCAUCCAUCUCAUAGACCCGAACACCCUACAAGUUGCUGAUAUUGAUGGAAACACGUUCUGGAGCCACCCUUUCAAUAGUUUAUGCCACCCUAAACAACUCGAAGAGUUUAUUGUGAUGGAAUGCAGCAUAGUCCGAGAUCUGAAACGAAGUGCCGGGGCUGGAGUCCUAUCAAAAAAACACACCCUUGGGGAGGUCUGGAUCCAGAAGACAUCUGAAAUGGACACAGAUAAACAGUAUUUUUGUCGGACUCACUUGGGACAUCUUUUAAAUCCUGGAGACCUGGUGCUGGGAUUUGAUUUGGCCAACUGUAACUUAAAUGAUGAGCAUGUUAACAAAAUGAAGUCAGAUAGAGUUCCAGAUGUGGUGUUAAUUAAGAAGAGCUAUGACCGUACCAAACGCCAGCGCCGUAGAAACUGGAAGCUGAAAGAGCUUGCGAGGGACAGAGAAGACAUGGACACAGAUGAUGAAAGGCAAUAUCAAGAUUUCCUUGAAGAUCUUGAAGAAGAUGAGGCAAUUAGAAAAAAUGUCAACAUUUACAGAGACUCCACCAUCCCUGUGGAGAGUGACACGGACGAUGAAGGAGCCCCUCGAAUUAGUCUGGCUGAGAUGAUUGAAGACCUUCAUAUUUCCCAAGAUGCCACUGGUGAAGAAGGUGCAUCAAUGAUGUCAUGAUGAGCCAUGAAGUCUGAUGAGCAAGGAAGAAGAUGAGGGAGAGUUGCUUCUGCAAUUGAGAUGUUCAGCAGAGUCAAGCUAAUAUCUUGCCAGAGUCUGGGGACUCCAGGGCGUGCUUCCUUAGUUGGUGUGAGUCAAGGUCUUAAUUUUAAUCAAUUUAUUCAUGUUGACUUCUAUCCUUCGAUUGCUUGGUAUUCAGUUGUUGUUCUUGUUGCUUUUACCUAGCUUUCUAGUUCUGUUACUUCUAGCCCAAAGAUAUUUUUAAAAAUAACAUUUACCCAUAAUUUCAGACUUACAGAAAGGUACGAGAAUAGUUUAGAGAUUUCAUGGUUAACCUUAACCCAGAUUUGGCAAGUGAAACAUUUAUCUUGCUGGCUUUCUCUUUCCUUUCCUUCUCACUAGUUUUUAAUUCCACCAUUUCAGAGAAUGGCUGGCCUUGGAGAGAGUGCUGGCUUAGCAUGGUCAAACCCUGGGUUGAAUGCCCAGCACCUCUACACCUCUCUACCACCACCCUCCGCCCCACCAAAAAAAGAGAAGGGUGAUGCUUUUUUUAGCGUUCGGCAUGCCCAGCCAGCACUCAGGUGCUAUGUGUGACCCAGGAUAGCUGUGUGGCCCAACAUUGUGUCAUGUGUUUAAAGGUUGGACACGCCUGUCAGAGAUGAUUUUUCACUCUAAAAGCAAGAAAUUAUUUAAUAAUAAUUAGUGUGUCAUUCAUAAAUUAAUAAAAUUCUAAACUUUUACCCAAUCGGUAGAAUGCUGAGGUCUUGCCAUUUGUCUCAGUAAAGUCCUUUGCAGAAGUGUCCAUGUAAGAGUCUGUGUUACAUUAGCAUCUCAUGCCUCUCUGAGCUGGACCAGUCCUUAAGAGUAUGUUUUAUUUAAAGGGUACACGGCAGUUAUUUGUAGAAUAACUGCAGGUUAUUUUUUUUCUUUUUCUUUUCCUGUGCCUAGAUUUAGGUUAUGUCAUUUUGGGGGUUGCUCGAAAGGGAUGUCAAACCUGGUGUGUUAUCCUAGCAUACAUGUGCGGCCCGUGAGUCCAGAUGCUCCCAAACCUGGUGCAUUAUCCUAGCAUGCAUGUGCUGCCCGUGAGUCCAGAUGCUCCCAAACCUGGCAUUGUUUUUUUGGCUUCCUGUUCUGAGAAUGAGCUCUCAUUCCAUGUAUUUCUUUAUUCCUUUUUUAAAAAUACAUAUGUCUUUGUAGACUAUAUUUUUUUUCUCCUCUUUGAAUCUAGUAUGAUUUAAUUGUGUACAAUCUACCACCGAGCUAUAACCACAGGUUCCCAUUACUCCCAACUUACAGUUCUUUAUUAAGGUAAAAAUUUUACUUGUUCUUUAAAAGUUCAUUUUCUACAUGUAGACAGAAUCACUCUUUGAUGUGUAGUUCUGAAGUUUUAUAUAUGUAGUGUUACGAGCUGGGGGACUUCAGCUCCAGGUUCUUUUCGAGUAGUAUCUAUGAGGACUCUGUGCCCUUCUCCCCAGAGAGCGAUGAGUGACCAGAGCAAGCAAGAGAAUUGAUUUUAUGAUGAUUCUUUACUAGCAACUUCAAUAUCCAAUACAUCAAUGGGGGUUACAAUCUCAGUAGGCAUGGGGGAUUGAUAAUGGGCAACACACAGGCAAUUCAAUAUCACAAUUAUCAAUCCUACUAAACCUAAUACAUAAAACCAAUUCAUAACCUUAAUCUAACUUAUCACUUAUUCAUAAAACACUUCUUAACCUUAAUACAACUUAGCCAUUACUUAUCUAUAACCUUAAUACAACUUAUCCAUUAAUUAUCUAUAACCUUAAUACAACUUAUCCAUUAAUUAUCUAUAAAACACCCCUUAACCUUAGCUUAUCCAUUAUUUCCUAAUCUGAUCAAUUAUCCAUAAAAUAUCUCUUAACAUUUCACACAUUAACAUAUGUAUUAACCCAUCUAUGCACUUCUCUUAACAUCUCAUACACACAUGAAAUAGCAUCAUACGACCUGAUAUUCCCUGGCUUAAAAAGGGCUUUUUGAAUUUCUUCAGGCUGGGCUCUUGUCCGCACUGGGGGCUGGGUAGCGAAGAUCGACUCUUGACCCCGUAGUCUGCACUUGGGAGAUAAGGUCCUGAUGUUCCAGGCUGGUAUCUGGUAGUGCCUUGGACUCUGCUUUCGGGUGACCGAGUCCCGGGAGACAAGGCUUUUAGUUCUCUACUCUUGAAGAUGAAGCUUUGCUCUCGGGAUGGCAAAGCGUUCUGUCUGCUCAAAAGACGAAGCUUUGCUUUCGGGAUGGCAAAGCAUUCUGAAAGGCAGAGUAUCUAGUCUGUUCUCGGGAGACAGACCUUCAAUGUCCACUCUCAUGGAAUGAGGAUUUGCUUUCGGGAUGCAAGGUGUUAAAUGUCUGUUUUCGGGAGACAAAGCUCUGUGCUCGGGAGACAGAGCAUUAAAUGUUUAGGCAAGGCAUUCAAUAUUGCUGCUUUUCGGGAAGCAGGCUAGGAGGAUCUCUCUUUCCACGGAGGCCUGGUGCCAGAGCCAUUGUGAGAAGUGAGAUAACCACCCUGCUUCAGCCACCUCUUUUAUGCCAGUUCAAAAUUGCCCCUCGUUUGAUCCUUCUGAUAACCAGGUGUCCUAGGUUAUCAGUAUCGACUGGCCACAGAAGGGUGGGGGAACCUCUUGUGUGGCAAGAUUAUUUCGUUACCACGGUUUCUGGGUGCAGCCCCCCACAUCUGGCAGGGCCAAAUGGGUGUGGCAGCCUUCAAACGGGCAAAUGCUCUCCCAAUAUUUCACCUUAGUAAUUUUCCAUACCCCACACAAGAAGAAAUGCUUUUACAUUACACCAAGUUACAUUCAUUCUUAUUCUAUAAAUUUCCUGCUCUAGCUACACUACAGAUUCCCCUUUAUUUAUUCAUUCAGAGGAAUCUGCUUCCAUGCUCAUUACAUGUAGAUUAUGUAAUCACAAUCAAAGUACAUACAAAGUCAGCAUACACACACACACACGCAUACUCAUGCACGCAUGCGCUAAAAGUCCCCUCACUCUGUUUCUAAACCGUACCUGUAUUCCCUCGAUAAUAUCUAAUCUGAACUUAGUUUGUUUCUCUUAAGGUAAAUGAGUGACAUCACACAGUGUGUGUGUCUGUGUGUAUAUAUUCAUUUUAGUUUCUCAAGUUAUUUAUGUCCAGAAUUUCCUUUUAUUUCUGCUAUUGCACUGUAUGGAUGUAUAUUUAUCUAUUCCUUUGUCGAGGCACAUUUGGUUUUAGCUUUAGAUUCUUAAAUGAACUGCUAUGAACAUUUCAGGGUUUUUUUUUUGGUGGUUGUUGUUUAUUUUUUCAUUUUGCCUUAAUAAAGAACUAGGAGUUGGGAGUAAGGGGAAUUUGGUUCAGUGGUAGAAUACUUGGUUAGCAUGUGUGAGGACCUGGCUUUGAUUCCAAGCACUAGGAAAAAAACAAAAACAAUAGCAAGUAAGAAUGGGAUUGUUACAGUGUAUAGUGAAUGUAUGUUUAUCAAAGUCUGCCAAGCUUUACCAAAGUGGCUGCGCCAUUGAGAUCUCAGACCAGCAGUGGAUGAGAACUUCAUUACCCUGAUACUUGUCAGUGUUUUUAACAUGGCAGAUGAUUGGUGGUAUCUUUUGUGACUUUUUUUUUUUUUUUGAGUGUAUAUCUGAUCCAGGCCUGUGUACUUUAGGCAAGUAGUCCAGCAUUGAGCUGUAUCUCCAGCCCUCUUUUUGUGAUUUUUAUAGGCAUUUUCAUAAUAUCUUUUCAUGUGCUAGUUAAUUUGUGUGUCUUCCUGGAUUAAAUGGCUAUUUCAAAUCUUUGCAGCCUUUCUUCUUUCUUUUUUUGAGAUAGAACAUUUCUCCCUUGCCUUUCCUCUCCAAACCUUCUCAUAUACUCUCCCUACUCUCCUUCAAAUACAUAACUUUGUUUUCUGUUAAUUGUUACUGUAUUAUUCCUAAGUACAGCCGGCUCUGUCCAUAUAAUGUUACCUGUAUGUAUGUUUUCAGGGUGGCUUGGUGUGUUUUCCCUGGGGAAUACCAUGUCUCCGGCUCUCAGUUUUACUCAGUUGCCUGUAGUUCCUUUUGUCUUUUUUUUUAAAAACUGUUUUCUUAUCGUAGUGAAAAGCACUAUGAAGAAUAUUAUAGACUGGGCUACAUCAACUCUAUAACCUUGAUGCUUCUGGAGGCUAGAGAGUCAAAUUUAGGGUUCCAUUAUGGUCAGGCUCUGGGGAAGUCCUUUUAGUUUUGCAAAAACCCUGAGUCCUUACAGGUACAGAGCAACCCUCUCUGUGUCACCUCCUUGGAGUACUAUCCCCUUGGUAAGGGUGCUACUCUCACUGUCUAUUUACUUCCCUAAGGCCUCAUGUAAUCAUUAACAUUAGGAUUAGAUUUUAUCAUGUAAAUUUGGGGAACAUAUAUUCAGCCCAUAGCAGGUUUGUUGCUCUUAUUUCUGAGCAGUUAAUUUUUAAAGUUAAUACUGAGAUACCAGAGCCCACCAGCUGAUGUCUCCUCAAGUUAGAUUCUGUCUUUGACAUCUUUUGGUCUUCUGAAACUAAGUGUCUGAAGCUACGAUAAUGCAGUAUGUUUCCAAACAAUGGAAAUGUUUUCCUACCUUUUGUUUUUAAGUGAUGUUUUAAGUGAUUAGGCAGUAGUUGUAGGGUUAGUUCAAAUGUCCACCAGGUGGCACUAAUGCCUGACUAAUACUGAAAGGCCUGAGCCCAGUCUUCAGGAAACAGCAGCUGAGGCUCUGGAGGUGGGGUGGAGACUUUGCUGUGGUAGCAGCACUCACUGUGUCUCUCUGAGGUGGGGAUCAGGACAUAAUCAGUUUGCUAGGCUGAGGUUUGAACUGUGAGGCGUUUUAGAUUUUUUUUUUCUUAGUGACUUAUGGGUUAUGAUUUAAAGCUAGGCUUGGAAGAAUAAAUUUAAUGUGUAGGUUUUCCCAUUUAACUUUGUGUUUCAAUGCAUAUAAAUCCUACAGGUUCAUAGAAAAAUUAGAAAUGUACAUUUUAUUGCUUAAUUUCAUAUGUGGAAUUGAUGAUGAUCAGUAUUGCUUACCUUAUUUACUAGACUGACCUAUAAGGCCUCUUUCAUCAUGGGAAAGGAUCAUAAAGACGGGUCUUGAAAAGAUAAGUUCAUUAUGAAAAAUGUUUAAGGAUCAUAACCUUCAACCUCCUGGAUGCCAAAUAAUAGUCAAAAUGCCUUGGAGCCUGGCUGUCUGUGUGAUUGCCCUAGAAAGGUUUCCCACCAACUCCCACACCCUCCUAACUAGUUCGUCGUCUUUAUUACCGGUGCACUGAGACAGGCACUUAUGGGAAAUAAAUCUCCAAAUAAAUCUGCUGUUUGCCUGCA
Alexandromys fortis (reed vole) is the source of this 7491-nucleotide RNA transcript. It is a transcript of the gene named NMD3 ribosome export adaptor, with no coding region annotated. The record is from RefSeq and is a predicted model, not a curated record. The transcript is spliced from 19 exons. Lineage: Eukaryota; Metazoa; Chordata; Mammalia; Rodentia; Cricetidae.